Molecule: unclassified non-coding RNA, 178 nt
Filed under: soil metagenome
Description: partial contains 5.8S ribosomal RNA, internal transcribed spacer 2, and large subunit ribosomal RNA
Source: RNAcentral
AACCUUAUGGACCUGCGGGCGUAUACCUGCGGAGGGAUCAUUAAAGAUUGGCCGAGAGGCCUCAUCUCUAUAUCCCCCAACCUCUGUGAACCGUGGACCCUCGGGUCUGUCUUUACAAACAUCUGUGUAACGAACGUGACAAUAACAUUAACAAAACAAAACUUUCAACAACGGAUCU